CCCUUAGAUGUUCUGGGCUGCACGCGUGUUACAAUCGGGAGUACAACAAGAUUGCAAAUCCUAGUGGAUGAGUGGUUCUUCGAAAUUUUCUGAAGACUGGGAUAGUUGAUUGAAAUUAUUCAACUCAAACGAGGAAUUCCUUGUAAUUGUAAUUCAUUAUACUGUAAUGAAUACGUCCCUGCCCUUUGUACACACCGCCCGUCGCUCCUACCGAUUGAACGAUCCGGUGAAUUAUUUGGAGUAGCUCUGGAAGUUGCAGAACUUCCUAUGUCACGAAAUUUUGUAAACCUUAUCGUUUAGAGGAAGGAAAAGUCGUAACA
RNAcentral lists this ribosomal RNA (320 nucleotides) under uncultured eukaryote. RNAcentral describes it as "partial 18S ribosomal RNA". It matches the Rfam family "Eukaryotic small subunit ribosomal RNA", at positions 1470 to 1796 of the family's 1831-position model. The record is from RNAcentral.